GAAGAGUUUGAUCAUGGCUCAGAUUGAACGCUGGCGGCAGGCCUAACACAUGCAAGUCGAACGGUAACAGGAAGCAGCUUGCUGCUUUGCUGACGAGUGGCGGACGGGUGAGUAAUGUCUGGGAAACUGCCUGAUGGAGGGGGAUAACUACUGGAAACGGUGGCUAAUACCGCAUAACGUCGCAAGACCAAAGAGGGGGACCUUCGGGCCUCUUGCCAUCAGAUGUGCCCAGAUGGGAUUAGCUUGUUGGUGAGGUAACGGCUCACCAAGGCGACGAUCCCUAGCUGGUCUGAGAGGAUGACCAGCCACACUGGAACUGAGACACGGUCCAGACUCCUACGGGAGGCAGCAGUGGGGAAUAUUGCACAAUGGGCGCAAGCCUGAUGCAGCCAUGCCGCGUGUAUGAAGAAGGCCUUCGGGUUGUAAAGUACUUUCAGCGGGGAGGAAGGUGUUGUGGUUAAUAACCGCAGCAAUUGACGUUACCCGCAGAAGAAGCACCGGCUAACUCCGUGCCAGCAGCCGCGGUAAUACGGAGGGUGCAAGCGUUAAUCGGAAUUACUGGGCGUAAAGCGCACGCAGGCGGUCUGUCAAGUCGGAUGUGAAAUCCCCGGGCUCAACCUGGGAACUGCAUUCGAAACUGGCAGGCUUGAGUCUUGUAGAGGGGGGUAGAAUUCCAGGUGUAGCGGUGAAAUGCGUAGAGAUCUGGAGGAAUACCGGUGGCGAAGGCGGCCCCCUGGACAAAGACUGACGCUCAGGUGCGAAAGCGUGGGGAGCAAACAGGAUUAGAUACCCUGGUAGUCCACGCCGUAAACGAUGUCUACUUGGAGGUUGUGCCCUUGAGGCGUGGCUUCCGGAGCUAACGCGUUAAGUAGACCGCCUGGGGAGUACGGCCGCAAGGUUAAAACUCAAAUGAAUUGACGGGGGCCCGCACAAGCGGUGGAGCAUGUGGUUUAAUUCGAUGCAACGCGAAGAACCUUACCUGGUCUUGACAUCCACAGAACUUUCCAGAGAUGGAUUGGUGCCUUCGGGAACUGUGAGA
Molecule: ribosomal RNA, 1039 nt
Filed under: Salmonella enterica
Lineage: Bacteria; Pseudomonadati; Pseudomonadota; Gammaproteobacteria; Enterobacterales; Enterobacteriaceae
Description: bacterial SSU rRNA
Rfam family: Bacterial small subunit ribosomal RNA
Source: RNAcentral